UUAGCAGUAAUCUUUGAAAUCAUCCUUGAAGUGUAGUGUGUGAGAUAGCCAUGCUAAUGCAAUUUCAAGUUUUUAUUUUUAAAAUCAUCAUAUGCAAACUAGCGACCUUCUCACGGGAUAUGCACUCAAUCACACAUGUGUUUAGUUUUAAUGUGUUUCGCUCAAAGAAUCAAAUGUGAAAUUUCUACCAUAAGCUUGCAUAAAAAUCACUUCUCCACAGUCAUAAUUGCAAAACUUAAAUCAAGAGGACUUUUAUUGGAUGUAAUGAGGCUUUAGGGAUAGGGUUAUUGAAAUGAAAGAAUAGGAAAACACAAGUUCCAAGCUACAUUGCAAGCAAUUCUUUUGUUUAGAUUUAUAAGAACUCAAGCUCUUCCAACGAUUCUUCUAGCACCUCCAACCACACCCUUAAACUGAAACUUUAAAAAAACUUUUUAUUUUCUUU
Molecule: long non-coding RNA, 442 nt
Filed under: Malus domestica (apple)
Lineage: Eukaryota; Viridiplantae; Streptophyta; Magnoliopsida; Rosales; Rosaceae
Description: long non-coding RNA (MDOM_LNC012870)
Source: RNAcentral